Molecule: long non-coding RNA, 3176 nt
Filed under: Gossypium barbadense (sea-island cotton)
Lineage: Eukaryota; Viridiplantae; Streptophyta; Magnoliopsida; Malvales; Malvaceae
Description: long non-coding RNA (GBAR_LNC023546)
Source: RNAcentral
UCAAAUAUAUCUAUCCAAUCCAUUGCUCCCCAUUUCUUCGGUGAUUCUCUCUCACUCUUGGUCUCUUUUCAACGUUUUCCUGUCAUUCUUUUUAGCUUUGGGUAUCCACAGGCGAAAAAAACACAUGCUAUAGUAGGAAGAGAGUUUUCGUGAGAGAAACCCUAAGUUUUCUCUGGCGAUUCUGGUUUUUGUGAUUUUUGAAAUUCGCUGCUUAAACGGAGACUCGUUUGAGGUAUCAAUUUCUUUUUUAGUUUCAGCUCCAUGCUUUUUUAGUUGUAUUUCAGUGGGUUUUUCUUAGGGUUUUUGGUUUUCAGCUUUAGAAAUCUCUGUUUCGUUUCGUCUUUCAGAUCUAUAAAUGUCGGUCUUGUUCUUCAUUUUGUUUGUUUAUCGUAUACUAUAUGUUGUUCUUUAUUUUUGGAUUGUUUUGUUCCCCUCUGUUUAAUAUUAUAGCUUUUUUUGUUAUUUUCUAUUUCUUUUAAAUCGUUGCUUAGCAGAAUACUAAUUGCCUAAACAAAAAGCAUACGUAUGUAAAUUGUUUACUACAUCUGUGUUGGCUUGAUUUUGGUUCUAGGAACCCGGUGGGAGUUGUGACACAUGUAUUGUUUAUUUGGUAGUUUUUCUGGAUGGUAAUAAAAUGCCUUUUUAAUUCGUUGUGAGUUGUGACAUUCUGUUUCUUAGUUUUCUCAAAAAGUCUGUACUUUAGUUUUUAAAAAUAAUAAUAAUCUAAUUGGGAUGCUUGUUGAUAUUGAUAAGAAUUGGAGAAUUUCAACCGAUUUGCUAAUUGCAAAGGUUUUUGUCGAUUUGGGUUUCAUGAUUAUAUUCGGUGGAGAUUGUCAUGAUUCAUGUAUGCGUAUAUGUUUUCUUUUUCAUACCGCUGGGUGCUUGCAUUAGUCAGUAAGUGUUGGGUAUAUUUUCUUUAAAAUAGUUGGGAUUGUUUGAGUUCUGUUGGGUAUGAUUUGCAAAUGGAUUUUGAUUGGAAGUUUUAGGUAGACCCAUGGUAUCUCUGUAUAUCUGCUGAAUGGAAGUUUUGUGUGAUUAUUGAUAUAUCCAUGUGGUGAAAAUACUCUGAUUUUGGUUAAAGAUAGAAUUAUAUUCAUCUGUGUUACCUAGCCUUACAUGAAGGGAAAUUGAGUUGUAAUCUUUUAAGUAAAUAGGUUCUAUGAGACUGAUUAACAUAAUUUUAAUUUGCUUAUUGGUUGAUGGUUUUAUGAGACUGAUAAAAAGAUGUGUUGGAUAUAUUCUCUAAUGAUGUCAUAACCAAUUUCUUGUUCAUUUAUUGUCUUAGUUGAUUUGAUGCAUGCUGGUUCUGAAUAAUUUUUUUUUCUUUUGAUUUUUCUGUUUUGGGUUAGCUUACAGGAUUUAAAGAUUGUCUUUGGUCAAUCGUUUGAUAAUUAUUACCUUAAACAAGUGCUGUUUGAUUUUCCUUUUUCAAUGUUGUCAUGGUAUAUAAAUGUUGAGGGUAAAAUAUUCCUGCCCUUAUAAGUUGGAGAAGAAACGUCGUCCUUGUGCAUUUUGACAAGUAGCCCGCUAUUGGCCUAAAGUAAUGCAUGGAGACUUGUGGGGUGGCACAUUCUAAGUUAGAAUGAGAGAAUAGAGGUUCUUUUGUUUGUCUUAAGAGCUGUCUAUAUAAAGGGUUGUGUUUUUUAUUUUUGUUUAAUUUAUUUUCACUAGCGGUCUUGCUAAGGGUAAUAGAUGAGAAUUUGUUGGAAUUUUUAGGGAUGCUGAUUGUAUUUAAGAGGAUGGAUUCUAAGGAAUGAACGUGGAAGUGGCCAUAUGCCUUGAAAUUAUUGGGUUCAUUAAUUGGAUCAGUCAGCUGGUCAAAUUUUUUCAGGGAAAUGAGAUAGCAAAUGUAUUAAUUAAGGUUGGCAUUUGAAGGGAAGUAUUUUCUUGGCUUGAUGGUGAUAUUUGUUCUGUUUUAUUGAGUUCUCUGUGCGAUCAUUGGUAUUUCCAUGUCCUGGCGCUGUCUGUUCUUACUUGGUGUUUGAGUUUUGGUUGACUUGUGCUACUGAUGUUUUAAUUCUACAUAUUGGUUAUGAAUUAGUGAAAGUUGUCUUAACAAAAAAGAAGAUAGCAGGGUUUUCCAUGUUCAAGUAAGAGUUAGAAAGAAUGCAAUUGGCUUCAUAAUUGUUAAUGGAAAGAGGUUAGCACUUCCAAAGGAAGUUAAGUGGACCAUGUUUAAAGUUUUAGAUAAUUUUGAUGAUGAAAACUGGUGAAGGCCACUCAUUGAUAGAUUAGAGUUUAAGUAGCUUUCAGGAAUGCUAGCUGGAACUUUGGAACAUCAAUUCCAAAUUGAACAAAUGAAAAUGUUGUUGGCAUUAGCAAAAUCAGGAAUAUGUCCAUAGAUGCACAACUAAAAUUAGACCUAAUGUAUAAAGCUUGAUUAGGUGAGCUGAAUCAGGUAGCGAUAUUGUAUGUAAUAAAGCUUGAUUAGGUGGUUUGAAUCAGGUAGAGAUAUUGUAUGUAAUAGAGCUUGAUUAGGUGGUUUGAAUCAUGUAGAGAUAUUGUAUGUAAUAAAGCUUGAUUAGGGGGUUGUUUGGUAUGAUGUUUUGAAGUUGAUGUAUGUGAUGUUUGCUGUUUAUUGCUGCCUUAAUGAAAAAUCCUUAUUAUUUUAUUUCUUUCGUAACAAAGAAAUAUCAGUACUCACUGUUGCACUGAAAAAAAUUUUAAUUAGCUUUGAAUUUUGCUUCCAUUGGCCUAAAGCUUUAAAGCUAUCACUUCUGGUAAAGAUUUUACAAUAUUCCUUUUUAUUUUUUUAGCCAAACUUAUGUAGCAACUGCUUGUGGGCCUACUUCAUCGGUGACUGAUUUCAGGUAUGAAUCAUCACUUCUACUUUGUCUGUCUUUUCAUUUUGUUUUAGUUUCAGAUCUAUUCUUUAUUACUUAUAUUUCAGUGGGUUUUAUGAUUUUUUGUUUUCUUCUUUAUGAAUCCUUUUCCUUUGCCUGCUCAUCUCUGUUUUUUUGUUGAAGAUAUAUUUAUUCAUCACUCGAAGCAAAGCAAAAGGGAAAGUAGGCAAAAGGGAAAGUAGGAGGGUUUUGAGGAGAGUGAAAAAUGGUUGGUCCUACUUCAUCGGAGAUUGUUAUCAGGUAUGAAUAUUUACUUAAACUUUGUAUCUCUGUUUUUAGUUUUAGAUAUAUGCUUCUUUUUACUAAUAUUCUCAUUGGGUAUUUGUCAGGGUU